UACGUAGGGGGCUAGCGUUGUCCGGAAUCAUUGGGCGUAAAGAGCGUGUAGGCGGUCCGGUAAGUCCGCUGUGAAAGUCGGGGGCUCAACCCUCGAAUGCCGGUGGAUACUGUCGGGCUAGAGUACGGAAGAGGCGAGUGGAAUUCCUGGUGUAGCGGUGAAAUGCGCAGAUAUCAGGAGGAACACCUAUUGCGAAGGCAGCUCGCUGGGACGUAACUGACGCUGAGACGCGACAGCAUGGGGAGCAAACAGG
Molecule: ribosomal RNA, 253 nt
Filed under: uncultured bacterium
Lineage: Bacteria
Description: partial 16S ribosomal RNA
Rfam family: Bacterial small subunit ribosomal RNA
Source: RNAcentral